Molecule: transfer RNA, 72 nt
Filed under: Camelus bactrianus (Bactrian camel)
Lineage: Eukaryota; Metazoa; Chordata; Mammalia; Artiodactyla; Camelidae
Also listed under: 1 other name
Rfam family: tRNA
About the family: Transfer RNA (tRNA) molecules are approximately 80 nucleotides in length. Their secondary structure includes four short double-helical elements and three loops (D, anti-codon, and T loops).
Source: Rfam by way of RNAcentral
GAGUAUAUAGCUCAGUGGUAGAGAGCAUGCUUAGCAUCCAUGAGGUCCUGGGUUCUAUCCCCAGUACCUCCA